Molecule: long non-coding RNA, 344 nt
Filed under: Numida meleagris (helmeted guineafowl)
Lineage: Eukaryota; Metazoa; Chordata; Aves; Galliformes; Numididae
Description: lncRNA (ENSNMEG00000018523.1)
Source: RNAcentral
CUGAGCAGCUGCUGAGUUACAAAUGACACACCUGGGAGCUGGGGUUAAGGUGUUCUGUGGAGCCUGUUGCCUUGGGAGCUGAUGGGAACCUGCACUGCUGGGCAAGGAGGAACAAAGCCACCAGGUCACCUGUCUGCCUGGGGAUGAUGCUAAAGAGCUGGACAACAACUUUGUUACCAAAACUCAGCCCAUUUUGAAAGUUGUCCACAGCACUAGGAAACCUUGAGGCACAGAGAGCUGAAUACCUGGGCUGCAGGUUGGUGUUUGAAAAUGAGAUGCCUGUUCCCAUCAGAGUAAAACUGAAGGCACGGUGUUACUCUCUGUCACAACGCCUAGGCUGAUCA